Long non-coding RNA from Oncorhynchus nerka (sockeye salmon), 1363 nucleotides. RefSeq lists it as uncharacterized. Lineage: Eukaryota; Metazoa; Chordata; Actinopteri; Salmoniformes; Salmonidae. The transcript has 3 exons. The record is from RefSeq and is a predicted model, not a curated record.
GAGAUUAGGAUGGAGAUUAAGAGGUAUGGAAUAGGUGUAUAAGGAAGCAGAGCUGAGUGAAAGAGAGCAUCUGAAGCAAGGAGAAGCAAGAAUAGAGGAAAAAGACGACAUUUACAUACACCAAGCUGAAGAGAAGUGAAGAUCCCAUGAUGAAGGUCCUACCCAUUCUGGCCGUGAUGCUACUCGGGACGUCUGCCAUGGUGCUCAAUGGUCUAAACUCCACCGAACCUAAACGGGUCUCUGCGAAGGUCAAGGCCUUUCUCCCAUGUCCUGGCCAUUCUACCUGGUAUAAACUGGGUGUCACGACUUCCGCCAAAGUCGGUCCCUCUCCUUGCUUGGGCGGCGUUCGGCGGUCGACAUUGCCGGUCUUCUAGCCAUUGCCGCUCCACUUUUCAUUGUUCAUUUGUUUUGUCUUGUUUUCCCACACACCUGGUUCACAUUCCCUCACCAGACUAAAUGUAUAAUACCCUCUGUUUCCCCCAUGUGUGUGUGUGGAAUUGUUCUUUGUGUAGGGUGUUGCGCUACAGGCUGGCUUGCGCUAGGUUUGUUUCUAACCUAGUUUUGUUUGUUUUGUUUAAUCUGGUUCAAUGUUACCGUGGUUGUGCUUUGUGCUGCCUCGCCUGUGCCUUUGGGCCAGGGUGUAUAUUAAAGUUAUCCUGUUAUCACCCAUCUCUGCUCUCCUGCGCCUGGCUUCCCGGCAACCAGUUUCUCAUCCCGUUACACUGGGGUCCAAAUGUGUUAAGCACUUCAAGGAAGAAUUGGACUUUACAUCCGCUGAGGUAAAUUCAGACUUCUCUAAGGUUUUAGUCUACAGACCCAGUUACUUAACCUUUAUUUAGGCAAGAGAGUCCCAUUGAUACCAAUGUCUCACUAUUUACUGUAGUGUACCUCUGUAUCUCUACAUGAUAUGCAGAAUUACCAAAAUUACCACCAUAACUAACUCUCAAAGCAGCAUGCUGUACAAUUAUUGUUGAUGGAGAUUCUUUAUUGAGUCUGCUUUUUAGUCCAGGACUAGGCUUAAUCUGUAUCCAGGAACCCAAACCCAUAGUACUCACCAUUCAAUUUGACCAUCUAGAUAAAAACCAGGUGGACAACAGUGUUCAUGCCCCCCAACUCCUUCUGUCCUUAUGCUUGAUCUCUGUCUCUUUCAUUAUCUCUCUCUCUCUCUCUCUCUCUCUCUCUCUCUCUCUCUCUCUCUCUCUCCUGUCUCUGUUUCUCUCUCUCUCACAUCCUCACCGCUACCUCUGGACUGAUGGGUCCAGCAUGGACUACUUUACCUGGCUUCAGAAGCCCAAGCAACCAUCCGGUGAUGGACAGUGCAUGGAAAUAAUCUGGCAGAGGAAGCAAGAGACGGCAGGGAUAA